Molecule: ribosomal RNA, 253 nt
Filed under: uncultured bacterium
Lineage: Bacteria
Description: partial 16S ribosomal RNA
Rfam family: Bacterial small subunit ribosomal RNA
Source: RNAcentral
UACAGAGGUGGCAAGCGUUGUUCGGAAUUACUGGGCGUAAAGGGCGCGUAGGCGGCUAUUCAAGUGGCGGGUGAAAUCCCUCGGCUUAACCGAGGAACUGCCUGCCAGACUGGAUGGCUUGAGACCGGGAGAGGUGAGUGGAAUUCCCAGUGUAGCGGUGAAAUGCGUAGAUAUUGGGAGGAACACCAGUGGCGAAGGCGGCUCACUGGACCGGUACUGACGCUGAGGCGCGAAAGCGUGGGGAGCAAACAGG